Molecule: non-coding RNA, 434 nt
Organism: Rhopilema esculentum
Lineage: Eukaryota; Metazoa; Cnidaria; Scyphozoa; Rhizostomeae; Rhizostomatidae
Source: RefSeq, a predicted model, not a curated record
AAAGUUGUUCUCGUCCCAGUAGGAUUCGAGCUGCUCCAGAGUGACGUCUUGAGGAGGUGCACACCAGUGUUACAGGCUGGUGAAAUCCUUUCGAAGAAGAUGUCGAAGACAGUGCUUUGUGUUGUUACCUGGCUGGCUAUGCUUGCCUAUGACCUCAAUGCAGCCCCAGCAAAUCAAGGCAGUGAUAAGAGUGUUUACGACGCAAUUGAAAAAAUCAAUCAGAAGAAAACUGGUCUCUUUGAAGGUGAUAUUUUGCCAAGUGAAUUGGUCGAUGAGAUCACAAGCAAAGUUUCAACAAGAAAAAGAGACGCUACAAGAUUCCGACAUUAUCUAUGGAGGACAAGAAUUAUCCCUUUUACAAUCUCAUCUGAAUUUGGUUCGUGUGUUUUGAUAAGUUCAAAAUGCCUGUCACUUAACCUUUGCAAAAGGAAAGC